UAUAUUAGCAUGUUGGUAAGGUAACGGCUUCCAGUAACGGCUNNCCAAGCNNGACCGUAGCUGGAGUGAGAGCUCGAACAGCCACACUGGGACUGAGACACGGNCCAGACUCCUACGGGAGGCAGCAGUGGAGAAUCUUGCGCAAUGGGCGAAAGCCUGACGCAGCCACGCCGCGUGCGGGAAGAAGGCCUUCGGGUCGUAAACCGCUUUCAGGAGGGAAGAAGCGAAAGUGACGGUACCUCCAGAAGAAGGU
RNAcentral lists this ribosomal RNA (253 nucleotides) under uncultured bacterium. RNAcentral describes it as "partial 16S ribosomal RNA". It matches the Rfam family "Bacterial small subunit ribosomal RNA", at positions 237 to 492 of the family's 1533-position model. The record is from RNAcentral.